AGAGUUUGAUCCUGGCUCAGGAUGAACGCUAGCGGCAGGCUUAACACAUGCAAGUCGAACGGUAAGGUCUCUUCGGAGAUACACGAGUGGCGAACGGGUGCGUAACGCGUAUGCAACCUACCUUUAACAGAGAGAUAGCCCCGAGAAAUUGGGAUUAAUAUCACAUAAUAUCAUAAUACAACCUUGUAUACUGAUUAAAGCUCCGGCGGUUAAAGAUGGGCAUGCGUAGCAUUAGCUAGUUGGUAAGGUAACGGCUUACCAAGGCAACGAUGCUUAGGGGUUCUGAGAGGAUUAUCCCCCACACUGGUACUGAGACACGGACCAGACUCCUACGGGAGGCAGCAGUGAGGAAUAUUGGUCAAUGGACGCAAGUCUGAACCAGCCAUGCCGCGUGCAGGACGACGGCCCUAUGGGUUGUAAACUGCUUUUAUAUACCAAGAAACCCCCCGACGUGUUGGGGGCUGACGGUAGUAUACGAAUAAGCACCGCUAACU
This 494-nucleotide ribosomal RNA is filed under the name uncultured bacterium. RNAcentral's name for it is "bacterial SSU rRNA". It matches the Rfam family "Bacterial small subunit ribosomal RNA", at positions 8 to 502 of the family's 1533-position model. The record is from RNAcentral.